RNAcentral lists this ribosomal RNA (468 nucleotides) under uncultured bacterium. RNAcentral describes it as "partial 16S ribosomal RNA". It matches the Rfam family "Bacterial small subunit ribosomal RNA", at positions 28 to 507 of the family's 1533-position model. The record is from RNAcentral.
GACGAACGCUGGCGGCGUGCUUAACACAUGCAAGUCGAACGGAAAGGCCCUGCUUUUGUGGGGUGCUCGAGUGGCGAACGGGUGAGUAACACGUGAGUAACCUGCCCUUGACUUUGGGAUAACUUCAGGAAACUGGGGCUAAUACCGGAUAGGAGCUCCUGCUGCAUGGUGGGGGUUGGAAAGUUUCGGCGGUUGGGGAUGGACUCGCGGCUUAUCAGCUUGUUGGUGGGGUAGUGGCUUACCAAGGCUUUGACGGGUAGCCGGCCUGAGAGGGUGACCGGCCACCUUGGGACUGAGGUACGGCCCAGACUCCUACGGGAGGGAGCAGUGGGGAAUAUUGCACAAUGGGCGGAAGCCUGAUGCAGCAACGCCGCGUGCGGGAUGACGGCCUUCGGGUUGUAAACCGCUUUCGCCUGUGACGAAGCGUGAGUGACGGUAAUGGGUAAAGAAGCACCGGCUAACUACGUG